UACAGAGGUCCCGAGCGUUGUUCGGGUUCACUGGGCGUAAAGGGUGCGUAGGUGGUGAGGUAAGUCGGAUGUGAAAUCUCCGGGCUCAACCCGGAAAUGGCAUUGGAAACUACCUUGCUGGAGGAUUUGAGGGGGGAUUGGAAUACUUGGUGUAGCAGUGAAAUGCGUAGAUAUCAAGUGGAACACCAGUGGCGAAGGCGAAUCCCUGGAAAAUACCUGACACUGAGGCACGAAAGCUAGGGGAGCAAACAGG
This 253-nucleotide ribosomal RNA is filed under the name uncultured bacterium. RNAcentral describes it as "partial 16S ribosomal RNA". It matches the Rfam family "Bacterial small subunit ribosomal RNA", at positions 524 to 776 of the family's 1533-position model. The record is from RNAcentral.